RNAcentral lists this ribosomal RNA (253 nucleotides) under uncultured bacterium. RNAcentral describes it as "partial 16S ribosomal RNA". It matches the Rfam family "Bacterial small subunit ribosomal RNA", at positions 524 to 776 of the family's 1533-position model. The record is from RNAcentral.
UACGGAGGGAGCUAGCGUUGUUCGGAUAUACUGGGCGUAAAGCGCACGUAGGCGGCGCAGCAAGUCAGGGGUGAAAUCCCGGAGCUCAACUCCGGAACUGCCUUUGAAACUGCAGUGCUAGAAUCCUGGAGAGGCGAGUGGAAUUCCGAGUGUAGAGGUGAAAUUCGUAGAUAUUCGGAAGAACACCAGUGGCGAAGGCGACUCGCUGGACAGGUAUUGACGCUGAGGUGCGAAAGCGUGGGGAGCAAACAGG